AGAGUUUGAUCCUGGCUCAGGACGAACGCUGGCGGCGGGCUUAACACAUGCAAGUCGCGGGAGAACCGCCCUCUUCGGAGGGCGGGGGCACCGGCGGAUGGGUGAGUAACGCGUAGGCAAUCUGCCCGGGAGACGGGGAUAACGCGCCGAAAGGCGCGCUAAUACCCGAUGAUGCAGCGGGGUCGCAUGACCACAGUUGUUAAAGGCCUUCGGGCCGCUUUCGGAGGAGCCUGCGUGCCAUUAGCUAGUUGGGGGGGUAACGGCCUCCCAAGGCGAUGAUGGCUAGGGGGUCUGAGAGGAUGAUCCCCCACACUGGGACUGAGACACGGCCCAGACUCCUACGGGAGGCAGCAGUGAGGAAUCUUGCGCAAUGGGGGCAACCCUGACGCAGCCACGCCGCGUGCUGGAAGACGGCCCUAUGGGUUGUAAACAGCUUUUGGGCGGGAAGAACCCGGGAUGUUCGCAUCCCGCUGACGGUACCGCCCGAAUAAGCACCGGCUAACUCCGUGCCAGCAGCCGCGGUAAUACGGAGGGUGCAAGCGUUGUCCGGAAUUAUUGGGUGUAAAGGGUGCGCAGGCGUCCCGGCAUGUUUUCGGUGAAAUCCUCCCGCUCAACGGGAGAAGCGCCGGAAAAACGGUCGGGAUUGAGUCCGGAAGAGGCCAGUGGAAUUGGUGGUGUAGCGGUGAAAUGCAUAGAGAUCACCAAGAACACCGGUGGCGAAGGCGGCUGGCUGGUCCGGCACUGACGCUGAGGCACGAGAGCGUGGGGAGCGAACAGGAUUAGAUACCCUGGUAGUCCACGCUGUAAACGAUGCAUGCUAGUUGUCGGCCCUUCGGGGCCGGUGACGCAGUUAACGCGCUAAGCAUGCCACCUGGGGAGUACGUUCGCAAGAAUGAAACUCAAAGGAAUU
This 910-nucleotide ribosomal RNA is filed under the name uncultured bacterium. RNAcentral describes it as "bacterial SSU rRNA". It matches the Rfam family "Bacterial small subunit ribosomal RNA", at positions 8 to 911 of the family's 1533-position model. The record is from RNAcentral.